Molecule: unclassified non-coding RNA, 250 nt
Filed under: Hevea brasiliensis (rubber tree)
Lineage: Eukaryota; Viridiplantae; Streptophyta; Magnoliopsida; Malpighiales; Euphorbiaceae
Source: RNAcentral
GCCGCUGCCAUCAGUAUCCAGCUGCGCAAACACGCCUUGAUCGAGAUCAAGCCCUCCAUUUGAACAUUGGUCAAUGAUCCUGACUGUCGCCUGUGCUCCGGUGGCCGUGUUAGUUACCAGCAAGCAUUUGCCGCAGGAGGCCUCGCCGGUAGGGCCGACAGGGCCGCAGAAGGCAGUCCAGCCAUACUUCUGCCGCCAUGCGAGGGGCUCGCUGGCGUCCCACGUAGCGCAGUAGGCGCUGACGGCGUUG